RNAcentral lists this long non-coding RNA (2226 nucleotides) under Cinara cedri. Lineage: Eukaryota; Metazoa; Arthropoda; Insecta; Hemiptera; Aphididae. The record is from RNAcentral.
UUUUUUUUUGGUUUAUUUGUGUAAUAUAAUUUUUAUAUUAUUUAGUUCUAAAUAGAUAUGAUAGAGGUAUAUAAUUAUUAUAAUAUUAUACUUAUAUGUUAUAUGCAUAUUAAAUAUUAUAGUAUAUAAACACACACGGAUAUAAUAGUAUAUUAUAUUUUAUUAAAUUAUAAUAAUAUGUAGUAAAUAUAUUAUAAUUCGAUCGAAUACAAAUCUAUAAUGUUAUAAUCGAAAGAAAAAUAACGUAAUAAUUAUAUAAUUAUAGUAAUAUAUUGUUAAUGUAAUAAAACUUAAACAGAACAUUGGCAUCUUUUAUGUGCGAAAACGCUAUACCUAACUAAUAAUAUAGUAUUAUUGCUAUUAUUUAUUUAUUUAUUUAUUUUUUUUUUUGAUAAUGCUUAUAUUCUAAAUAUUGUUUAAUUUUUUUAUGAUUAUAUAAUAUAUAAGUAGCGACAACGUGAAUAAAAACAACUGUUUGCUAAUCAUAUGAUAGUAUUAUGUAAAUUAUUAUAAAUCAAUAAACAUUGCUAAUAAUCUUAAAACGAAAAUAUUAUUAUUACUAUAUAAAAUAAUGUCAUGCUAAUAUUAAUAUUAUACUCGACGGUAAAAAGAUAAUAAUAUUAUAAUUUUAUUCUUGAAUAUUAUUAUAUUAAAUAGGUUAUCGUAAUAGUAUUAUACACACAAAUCGAAAAUCGGAAUAGUACUUAAUAAAUAAUUAAUAAUAAUAUAAUAUUAAAAUUUUGAUUUGAAAUUGGAAAAAAAAAAAAACACAACAACACGAUAUUCGCUAUAUUUUAAUAAUAUAUAAUAAUGUUAAAGUCAACGUUAAAACACUAGAUUAAUGAGGACGGGGGUAGGGGUUCGGUAGGGCGGCCAAUAAUUUAACCGAAGUCGGUAAUACGGUAUUACAAUGGUACGUACAGUGAAACAUAACAGCCGCUUUGAAAUAUCAUGCAUGUAUAAUAUCGUAAACGCAAUAUGGUUUUUUUAAAAAAAUGGAGUUUUUGUUGUAAAAACCUUUGAUGAAUUUAUUGAAUUGUUUGGUUCGAUGAGAUAAUCGUGAUUGCGCGUUAUCGGUACGGGCAAGGCAGUCAACGGCACUGCAGACGGAAUAACGUAAAAGAUUACUCGAAUUUUAAAUAAAGGAAACACAGCAAAAAAAAAAAAAAAUCCGAUAAAACAGUUAGAGGCGCGACUGUUGCAGUGUGUGUGUGUGUAUGUGUGUGUGCGCGUGUUUAUGAAACGGAAACGAAAAAUCUUUAUAACAUUAUGCGCGCAACGACUAAAAUUUUAAAAUAACACGUACGUUGUAUCGCAUUGAAACGUCCGCUGUAGACUCUGAACAAUCACUACGGGUAACUCCUUAUCAUCGUUAUAACAACAAUUAUUAGUUACUCAUACGUAUAUUUAUAUAUACAUAUAUUUUAAUAUAAUAUUAUUAUAUGUACACACGCGUUAAUAUUAGGUCUAUGGUACUGUGUGUCUAAACGAAAUGUCGUAUAAUGUUGUUGUUGUAGUAUAUAUGGAAAAAAAACGUCCAAACUAAAUUUUUUUUUUUUUUUUCAACGUAAUAUUUUUAUUUUUUUUUUUCCCCCCCCCCAUUAAAUUUCCACGCCACAAUAUAAUAUUAUAGCCGCCGUGUUACGUCAUGAUAAUGCACUGUACGUCCGUCGCGUACACUGGCUGACCAAUGGACUGCGCUCUCCUAUCGACUUUACCCUGCCUCCCCAAACACGCCCGCCGUGGUGGUUCCCAGCCAACAUAACGCAACAGGUGUCGUUGAUGACGUUGUUAUUUUUUAUAUUUUUUUCACAUUUUCUUUUAGCCGGUGUUGUUUUCCGAAUAUUUCAACAUGCAAGGCCGAUUAUCGUCGCGAAUAUUUCAAACAACGGUAUAAUAUUAUAAUUUUUCGGGUCAAUAAAAAAAAAAAAAACGCGCGCGAUCGUCGAAUAAUAAUUGACGGGCCGUUUCUUUUCCCACGGCCCCGGCUCGUUUCGAACACAUUUUUUUUUCCGAUCUCCGAGCGCAUUUAUCAUCAGUUCUACUACUGCGUUUAGGCCCGUGCUUUCAGUUUAUUAUCAAGCGGCGAAAUGUCGGAUUAUGAACACGCGCAGUAUUCGUAUCGCGGCCAGACAUAAUUAUCCGGACCGCGGUCACGACGAGCCGACAGAUGGGUAAGCGAUGAGAACUACCUGCGAUGUGCGCAGAUAUUACAAAAUAUCGAAU